RNAcentral lists this ribosomal RNA (506 nucleotides) under Uperodon anamalaiensis. Its description in RNAcentral is "partial small subunit ribosomal RNA". It matches the Rfam family "Bacterial large subunit ribosomal RNA", at positions 1920 to 2591 of the family's 2925-position model. Lineage: Eukaryota; Metazoa; Chordata; Amphibia; Anura; Microhylidae. The record is from RNAcentral.
AAGUUAAACGGCCGCGGUACCCUAACCGUGCGAAGGUAGCGCAAUCACUUGUUCUUUAAAUGAGGACUAGUAUGAACGGCAUCACGAGGGUUAUACUGUCUCCUUUCUCUAAUCAGUGAAACUGACCCCCCCGUGAAGAGGCGGGGAUAAAAUUAUAAGACGAGAAGACCCCAUGGAGCUUUAAACUCAGCAUCAAUUGCCUUAGCACACAAAUCAUUUUAACCAGGCAAACCUGACAGCUAGUUUUCGGUUGGGGUGACCGCGGAGCAAAACAAAACCUCCACGAUGAAUGGACCUUUCCUAAUCAAAGAGCCACUACUCGAAGAAUCAAUAUACUGACAUAAAUUGAUCCAAUUAAUUUUGAUCAACGAACCAAGUUACCCUGGGGAUAACAGCGCAAUCCACUUCAAGAGCCCCUAUCGACAAGUGGGUUUACGACCUCGAUGUUGGAUCAGGGUAUCCUAGUGGUGCAGCCGCUACUAAUGGUUCGUUUGUUCAACGAUUAA